RNAcentral lists this ribosomal RNA (341 nucleotides) under Escherichia coli. RNAcentral describes it as "bacterial SSU rRNA". It matches the Rfam family "Bacterial small subunit ribosomal RNA", at positions 124 to 466 of the family's 1533-position model. The record is from RNAcentral. Lineage: Bacteria; Pseudomonadati; Pseudomonadota; Gammaproteobacteria; Enterobacterales; Enterobacteriaceae.
AACUGCCUGAUGGAGGGGGAUAACUACUGGAAACGGUAGCUAAUACCGCAUAACGUCGCAAGACCAAAGAGGGGGACCUUCGGGCCUCUUGCCAUCGGAUGUGCCCAGAUGGGAUUAGCUAGUAGGUGGGGUAACGGCUCACCUAGGCGACGAUCCCUAGCUGGUCUGAGAGGAUGACCAGCCACACUGGAACUGAGACACGGUCCAGACUCCUACGGGAGGCAGCAGUGGGGAAUAUUGCACAAUGGGCGCAAGCCUGAUGCAGCCAUGCCGCGUGUAUGAAGAAGGCCUUCGGGUUGUAAAGUACUUUCAGCGGGGAGGAAGGGAGUAAAGUUAAUAAC